This 255-nucleotide long non-coding RNA is filed under the name Olea europaea (common olive). Its description in RNAcentral is "long non-coding RNA (OEUR_LNC012846)". The record is from RNAcentral. Lineage: Eukaryota; Viridiplantae; Streptophyta; Magnoliopsida; Lamiales; Oleaceae.
AUCGGUUAGUUUUGUCAUCAUUCCAAAUAUGGCGUACAAUGUUGUUGUUAGCCCUUUCAAAUUUUCAGUAGUAUGCAAAGUUCGUCUCUUCAAGUGAUCUCACUCAUUCACUUUCAUCCCUUCUCUUUUCUUUAGAACUACUACUUCAUUAAGAUGAACGGUGGCUGCCCUAAUGCAAAAUCAGAUCAAAGUACCGUACCAGAAUCACACAGAAAUGAGGAGCCCACCACCCAAAAAUGCAAGGUAUUAUUAUGG